AAAUUGAAGAGUUUGAUCAUGGCUCAGAUUGAACGCUGGCGGCAGGCCUAACACAUGCAAGUCGAACGGUAACAGGAAUCAGCUUGCUGAUUUGCUGACGAGUGGCGGACGGGUGAGUAAUGUCUGGGAAACUGCCUGAUGGAGGGGGAUAACUACUGGAAACGGUAGCUAAUACCGCAUAACGUCGCAAGACCAAAGAGGGGGACCUUCGGGCCUCUUGCCAUCGGAUGUGCCCAGAUGGGAUUAGCUAGUAGGUGGGGUAAAGGCUCACCUAGGCGACGAUCCCUAGCUGGUCUGAGAGGAUGACCAGCCACACUGGAACUGAGACACGGUCCAGACUCCUACGGGAGGCAGCAGUGGGGAAUAUUGCACAAUGGGCGCAAGCCUGAUGCAGCCAUGCCGCGUGUAUGAAGAAGGCCUUCGGGUUGUA
Molecule: ribosomal RNA, 430 nt
Filed under: Escherichia coli
Lineage: Bacteria; Pseudomonadati; Pseudomonadota; Gammaproteobacteria; Enterobacterales; Enterobacteriaceae
Description: bacterial SSU rRNA
Rfam family: Bacterial small subunit ribosomal RNA
Source: RNAcentral